This 440-nucleotide ribosomal RNA is filed under the name uncultured bacterium. Its description in RNAcentral is "partial 16S ribosomal RNA". It matches the Rfam family "Bacterial small subunit ribosomal RNA", at positions 338 to 795 of the family's 1533-position model. The record is from RNAcentral.
CUACCGGGAUGCUCCAGUGAGGAAUAUUGCACAAUGGGGGGAACCCUGAUGCAGCAACGCCGCGUGGAGGAUGACGCAUUUCGGUGUGUAAACUCCUUUUAUAUGUCAAGAAAAUGACGGUAGCAUAUGAAUAAGCACCGGCUAACUCCGUGCCAGCAGCCGCGGUAAUACGGAGGGUGCAAGCGUUACUCGGAAUCACUGGGCGUAAAGGACGCGUAGGCGGGUUGGAAAGUCAGGUGUGAAAUCCUACAGCUUAACUGUAGAACUGCACUUGAAACUUCUAAUCUAGAGUAUGGGAGGGGGAGAUGGAAUUAGUGGUGUAGGGGUAAAAUCCGUAGAUAUCACUAGGAAUACCUAAAGCGAAGGCGAUCUCCUGGAACAUUACUGACGCUAAGGCGUGAAAGCGUGGGGAGCAAACAGGAUUAGAUACCCGCGUAGUC